CGCACGGGUGAGUAAGGUAUAGUUAAUCUGCCCUACACAAGAGGACAACAGUUGGAAACGACUGCUAAUACUCUAUACUCCUGCUUAACACAAGUUGAGUAGGGAAAGUUUUUCGGUGUAGGAUGAGACUAUAUAGUAUCAGCUAGUUGGUAAGGUAAUGGCUUACCAAGGCUAUGACGCUUAACUGGUCUGAGAGGAUGAUCAGUCACACUGGAACUGAGACACGGUCCAGACUCCUACGGGAGGCAGCAGUAGGGAAUAUUGCGCAAUGGGGGAAACCCUGACGCAGCAACGCCGCGUGGAGGAUGACACUUUUCGGAGCGUAAACUCCUUUUCUUAGGGAAGAAUUCUGACGGUACCUAAGGAAUAAGCACCGGCUAACUCCGUGCCAGCAGCCGCGGUAAUACGGAGGGUGCAAGCGUUACUCGGAAUCACUGGGCGUAAAGGGCGCGUAGGCGGAUUAUCAAGUCUCUUGUGAAAUCUAAUGGCUUAACCAUUAAACUGCUUGGGAAACUGAUAGUCUAGAGUGAGGGAGAGGCAGAUGGAAUUGGUGGUGUAGGGGUAAAAUCCGUAGAUAUCACCAAGAAUACCCAUUGCGAAGGCGAUCUGCUGGAACUCAACUGACGCUAAGGCGCGAAAGCGUGGGGAGCAAACAGGAUUAGAUACCCUGGUAGUCCACGCCCUAAACGAUGUACACUAGUUGUUGGGGUGCUAGUCAUCUCAGUAAUGCAGCUAACGCAUUAAGUGUACCGCCUGGGGAGUACGGUCGCAAGAUUAAAACUCAAAGGAAUAGACGGGGACCCGCACAAGCGGUGGAGCAUGUGGUUUAAUUCGAAGAUACGCGAAGAACCUUACCUGGGCUUGAUAUCCUAAGAACCUUAUAGAGAUAUGAGGGUGCUAGCUUGCUAGAACUUAGAGACAGGUGCUGCACGGCUGUCGUCAGCUCGUGUCGUGAGAUGUUGGGUUAAGUCCCGCAACGAGCGCAACCCACGUAUUUAGUUGCUAACGGUUCGGCCGAGCACUCUAAAUAGACUGCCUUCGUAAGGAGGAGGAAGGUGUGGACGACGUCAAGUCAUCAUGGCCCUUAUGCCCAGGGCGACACACGUGCUACAAUGGCAUAUACAAUGAGACGCAAUACCGCGAGGUGGAGCAAAUCUAUAAAAUAUGUCCCAGUUCGGAUUGUUCUCUGCAACUCGAGAGCAUGAAGCCGGAAUCGCUAGUAAUCGUAGAUCAGCCAUGCUACGGUGAAUACGUUCCCGGGUCUUGUACUCACCGCCCGUCACACCAUGGGAGUUGAUUUCACUCGAAGCCGGA
This 1314-nucleotide ribosomal RNA is filed under the name Campylobacter jejuni. Its description in RNAcentral is "bacterial SSU rRNA". It matches the Rfam family "Bacterial small subunit ribosomal RNA", at positions 99 to 1431 of the family's 1533-position model. Lineage: Bacteria; Pseudomonadati; Campylobacterota; Epsilonproteobacteria; Campylobacterales; Campylobacteraceae. The record is from RNAcentral.